Molecule: non-coding RNA, 107 nt
Organism: Gossypium arboreum
Lineage: Eukaryota; Viridiplantae; Streptophyta; Magnoliopsida; Malvales; Malvaceae
Source: Rfam
AACCCAUGGUGAGGGCACCAUCUCAAUAAGUCCUUAUACCUCUCCCAAGCAUCAUUCAGGGUCCCUAAGUCAAUAUGAAUGAAAGAAGAGAUAUCAUUCCUCAAUUU